CGCCGCCACGGGAAUACGAAGGGUGCAAGCGUUAAUCGGAAUUACUGGGCGUAAAGCGCGCGUAGGUGGUUUGGUAAGAUGGAUGUGAAAUCCCCGGGCUCAACCUGGGAACUGCAUCCAUAACUGCCUGACUAGAGUACGGUAGAGGGUGGUGGAAUUUCCUGUGUAGCGGUGAAAUGCGUAGAUAUAGGAAGGAACACCAGUGGCGAAGGCGACCACCUGGACUGAUACUGACACUGAGGUGCAAAAGCGUGGGGAGCAAACAGGAUUAGAUACCCCUGUAGUCCCUGUCUCUUAUACC
This 301-nucleotide ribosomal RNA is filed under the name uncultured bacterium. Its description in RNAcentral is "partial 16S ribosomal RNA". It matches the Rfam family "Bacterial small subunit ribosomal RNA", at positions 510 to 808 of the family's 1533-position model. The record is from RNAcentral.